This 49-nucleotide small RNA is filed under the name Xanthomonas dyei pv. eucalypti. RNAcentral's name for it is "partial sX9 sRNA". It matches the Rfam family "Xanthomonas sRNA sX9", at positions 1 to 49 of the family's 76-position model. Lineage: Bacteria; Pseudomonadati; Pseudomonadota; Gammaproteobacteria; Lysobacterales; Lysobacteraceae. The record is from RNAcentral.
AUGUACCACCCGUACACUCCGGUUCCUCCGCGCCGUCCACACCCACCUG